Molecule: ribosomal RNA, 500 nt
Filed under: uncultured bacterium
Lineage: Bacteria
Description: partial 16S ribosomal RNA
Rfam family: Bacterial small subunit ribosomal RNA
Source: RNAcentral
GUUGAACGCUGGCGGAAUGCUUUACACAUGCAAGUCGAACGGCAGCACGGGGGCAACCCUGGUGGCGAGUGGCGAACGGGUGAGUAAUACAUCGGAACGUGCCCAGUCGUGGGGGAUAACGUAGCGAAAGUUACGCUAAUACCGCAUACGAUCUACGGAUGAAAGCGGGGGACCGUAAGGCCUCGCGCGAUUGGAGCGGCCGAUGUCAGAUUAGGUAGUUGGUGAGGUAAAGGCUCACCAAGCCGACGAGCUGUAGCUGGUCUGAGAGGACGACCAGCAACACUGGGGCGGCGACACGGCCCAGACUCCUACGGGAGGCAGCAGUGGGGAAUUUUGGACAAUGGGCGCAAGCCUGAUCCAGCCAUUCCGCGUGCAGGAUGAAGGCCUUCGGGUUGUAAACUGCUUUUGUACGGAACGAAACGGCUUUUUCUAAUACAGAGAGCUAAUGACGGUACCGUAAGAAUAAGCACCGGCUAACUACGUGCCAGCCGCCGCCGUAA